GUAAUGCACUGAGGGAUAACCAGGGCUGCUCGCAGAGGGAACCUGUGCCAGCACUGGAAGUGCAGCAAGGCUCUGAUUGCUGGGGAGGCUGAGAGAGGCUGCUUCCCUCCAAAACCUCGGUGAUUGCCCUCGAGAGAAAACAUUUCAGCAGAGCACGGAGAUCCACUGAAACCAGAAUGAUUCAUUGGGGUUGAAAAUGUGAAUUUAUUUCUUUUAAUGCGCCAUGCGUAUGGAGGGACCGCAUUGGUCCUGAUUUAUUUUAUAAAAGGAGGAUAGGGGAGAAAAAUCUGCGCUUUUCCGUGGCUUCAGUUGGGUUCAGCUCAAAAUGAGAUCAGUGGAGACUGGUGGAUCUUUAAGACCCCACAGAAAUGAUCCAGGACAAGAGGAAGAAGUGUUUCAACCCUCAGGAAUAAAGUGGCUACCAAUCUUUGGUGGUAUCAUCCCAUAAAUGACUGGUGAGAACUGGCUAAAAUCUUUUGGUUUUAAUGGAACUAUGAAGCUCUCAAAGCUCAUGAAAAUGGUCAAGGAGAGCCACAAAUGAGAGUCAGAACUCUACAGAGAAUUUCUGAUACCAGGUUGCUUCAUUCUCAUUCACCACAGGGCAAAAAUCUUCCAAACACUCAUGAAAGCUCUGGAGAAAUGCCGGGAUGCGUCUUCCAAAGGAGUUUUGUUGGACGUGAGGAAUUUGCUGAUGGAGAGUGUGGGGCUGCUCCUCUCCCUUUAAUGCUUUAUCCACAUGGGGCAGUAGCAGAAUAAAACUCCAGAGCCUUGUAGGAGCAAUGUUCCUGCCUUUAAGUUGUGGUGAGACCAUUGAUCAUGUUGCUGAUAAAGCAGCUUAGGCUGUGACAAGCAAUUGGCCGCUGCAGCGUUUGCAGGGAGAAAUCAAGGCUUUGGAACACAACCCUUGGGCUUAAAAUAGCAAAACUCCCUUGGAGAAGGAGCCCUUACAAUGUGUGUUCCUUAAAUAGACCCACAAGCAAGAAAAUAAACCCUGUUUUACACACAGCCAGAAUGAGGGGAAAAUAAACUCGGCAGUUGCUGUGUGAAUGAGUGACAAAGUCACAACCUGAGGCUGAAUCACCUGAUUCUGAAUGGGCUGAUUUUCCUGCUCUUUUAUGUGUUGGAAAGAUAAGGAUAAACCUGGAAUGAUUUUAAAUAAAUUCGUGCCUGGCUGGCUUUUUUUGGUGGUACACAAAACAGGGAAAAUAAAGAAAAUCGUGAAUGUGGUCCCUCACCUUGCUGAGGUGAGGAGGGAAGGAAUAACACAAACACAAACAAUGAGAUUUGCUGUGAUCACCCUUCAUUCACCCUUGGACCUCACCCACAUCAGCACUGCAUUUCCUAAAGCAAAAAUGAGGAUGCGAAGCAUCUGACAAUACGAAAAAGAGUCAACACCAUACUAAAAUAGUGGAAUUGCACUGUGGAUUCCUAUUUUGUUACCUCUGAAAAUCUCCAUUCUGCUACUCAUCGUAAAGCAUGAUCUAUUUGAGCCUUUAUGAACUUGUUCUCUGCUAAAUGCUGACAGCUUGAUGAUAUUUUCCAAGAUUCAGUGGCUUCUCCUCGAAAAGGAGUCAAGUUAGGCUCAUGUGUAAAAUAUUAACCAUGUGUUCAUCCCCAAAUUUGACCAUGAUUAUCUAAUGAACUGAGCAAGGCAACAUUUUAUCGUCAAAUGAAUUGGUCACCAAAAAGUGCAGUUUUGAAGAGAUCCUGAUAGCUGGAAAAUAUUCUUCCUGGCCAAAUGGAAUAUUUUGGAAACACCAGCAUUUGUCAUUUCAACUUGCUGAAUUCUCACAUUUAGGUGCUUAUCAGGAAAGGAGAGGCCUCUAAAACACAGAUGGAAGAAGUAGAUCUCCAGUAUAUAUAUGGGAAAUUAUGAGCACAGCAGGCAGAUAUUUCACAGACAUUUCAAGAGCUUCCUCAAAGUGCCCCAUUUGGGACCAGGAAUGAGAAUUUUGCCUCUGGAUGUCUGUUAGCAGGGGUGACUUGGGUCCCAUGGGCCCCACUAUGUGUUAUAUAUAUGAAACACAAUAUAUUAUUGUGUAACUUCAAUAUAUUAUUUCUCUUGUUAUGUAUAUAUAACACAAUAUAUUAUUGUGUAACUUCAAUAUAUUAUUUCUCUUUACUAAUUCAAAGCAAAUUUUUUUUAUUUUUCUGCUGAAGGAGAAAAAGAACAUGUGCUGUGAGAGGAGCCUUUUUCUCCCCAAAGCCUGCGGACAAGAAGCUCAUAAACGAGCAUCUGAAGUUCAGCUACUGUCAGGAAUCCAUAUUUAGAUUCUGUUUUUGCAAAAAAUAAAUUAUGUUUAAAUGUAAGUAGGAGGGAAAUGCUUUAAUGUUGUCAGGCAGGAGCACCUCGGAGUCAGCAGAAAACAGGAUUGAGCAGGUGCCCAAACUCUGGGCACAUGCUGAAAUGCUUUGCUGCUUUCUGACCCCAAAUGAGCAGCCUGACAAGCAGCUCUGUUCAGGGUGGUCUGAAAUCUCUUACUGGGAGCUGGUUUAGAUCAGGGGGAGGGAUGAGGCUGGGGAACAUAAAUGUUCUCUGGGGCCCAUUUCGGUUUUUAUGAGGAAGGUAUUCCAGCCAGAAGGAAAGGGCUAAGAUCAAGCCAGCCAUCUUCCAGGUGAGCCUGCAGCCUUUAAAGCCCUCUGUCAGGGCCCUUAAUAACUUUGCCAUGUGUAAACACCCCUGAUGCUUUUCUUCUGAGCUCAGAGUGACAAGCAGAGCAAGGGGAGAGCGGCUGCCCGACACUUUUUGACGUCAGUUCUUAUAAUCCUGAGCAGUUGAUAACCAUGACACUCCAGAAAUUGGGUAUCACAUGUCACUGCAGAGCCUCAUGGAGCAGCGCUGAGGGGUUUCAGAGCUGCCUCACCCCUCUGAGUUUACCCAGGGAUUUUUUUUUUCCAGGCCCAUAAUGAGCGAGGCACAAUUUAACCCUUUAACCUCUCCCCACACACGGGUCACAUUUCAGCCCAAUAGAGGACACACACCAAGUGGCUCAUGUUUAUUUUCCAAUUGUCAUCUUCAGUUUACCUUGAAGAACCUGAUCUUUAAGUUGGUAACAAAUAGCUACUGAAACCAGCUGAGGAUUUUUUUUUUUUUUUUGUUGUUCCCCAGCUAUAAACCAGUCAGCCCCAAGAAAGACCCCAUGAGACUGUGGAACAUUUGCUUCUCAUGUCAGCUGAGAAGAUUCCCAAAACAGCCAAAGACAAAGUACGUCAGAUGGCUUUUAUAUUCCUGCUUUGCUCUGGCCAUGCUGGGUCAUCGAGGGAUAUAAAAUGUAUCAGACUCAGCUAAUUCAAUUUUCAGGCAGAAAGAACAUUUUAUUAAUGGCACUCUGAUUAUCUGUGCUGUUACGGCCUGAGCCAAUGGACAUCAAAGUCAUCGAUUGUCCUCAGCAAACCUCUGUGUAUUUAAAUUCUUUAAUGUAGUUUAGGACUUUAUUUAUAGCACUUUGAAUUCCCAAACAGGUAAAUUGUUAAGCUCUUGAUUUAAAUAGUUGUAUUUAUUUAUAGCCCUGAGCGCAAUUUCUUGAGCAUAUCCAGCUAAGGAGAGAUUCCAGAGAUAACAGCCCCAAAGUUCUGUCCAGGAACCAGAUGUAUCUCACACUCUUUUUUUCUCUCAAAAGUCUCAUUUAAUCUGUUUGAUAGCAGAGUUAUGCAGAAUUUAUGUUGAUAUGAAGCAGAAAAAAAUAAGAAAUCCCCAAGGAAUGUAUCCCUGGCUCCAGAGUCCUAUCCCAGCAUCACAAGUGUUGGAAAUUUAUUCCGGAUUGAGUCUCUAGGCAAAUCUGAUUUAAUCUAGAGAGUGUAUUCAUAUGGAUGGUGGAAGAGAACUUUGCAAGCAAGCCCAAACCCAAGCAGAGUCAUAUCCCAACGUGCAAUUUCUGAGGCAGAAUCAACGCAGACACAAUUUGCCACACGUAAUCUCACAUCAGCUGAGAAUUCCAAACCUCCUUGGAAAACAUCCUUUGCCAUCUGGUUUAACUGGACCUAAAGGCAGACGUUUGAAGUCUGCCCAUUUUGUGGUACUCCCCAAGUCUGGGGUUUCUUCGUUUUGCUCUAAUACAAAAUUAAAGCUUUGUAAAAAUGCCCACGGCUG
Long non-coding RNA from Melospiza melodia melodia, 4090 nucleotides. RefSeq lists it as uncharacterized. The transcript is spliced from 3 exons. NCBI's taxonomy places the organism in Eukaryota, Metazoa, Chordata, Aves, Passeriformes, Passerellidae. The record is from RefSeq and is a predicted model, not a curated record.